This 646-nucleotide ribosomal RNA is filed under the name uncultured bacterium. Its description in RNAcentral is "bacterial SSU rRNA". The stretch from base 1 to 546 matches the Rfam family "Bacterial small subunit ribosomal RNA", at positions 338 to 873 of the family's 1533-position model. The record is from RNAcentral.
CCUACGGGAGGCAGCAGUAGGGAAUCUUCCACAAUGGGCGAAAGCCUGAUGGAGCAACGCCGCGUGAGUGAUGAAGGCCUUCGGGUUGUAAAACUCUGUCAUUCGGGACGAACCGGAGUCUGAGGAAAUGCAGACUCUCUGACGGUACCGGAGGAGGAAGCCCCGGCUAACUACGUGCCAGCAGCCGCGGUAAUACGUAGGGGGCAAGCGUUGUCCGGAUUCACUGGGCGUAAAGCGCGCGCAGGCGGUGAUGUAAGUCUGAGGUGAAAACCCGAAGCUCAACUUCGGGACUGCCUUGGAUACUGCGUCACUUGAGGAUAGGAGAGGCAAGGGGAAUUCCACGUGUAGCGGUGAAAUGCGUAGAGAUGUGGAGGAACACCUGUGGCGAAGGCGCCUUGCUGGCCUAUUCUGACGCUGAGGCGCGAAAGCGUGGGGAGCAAACAGGAUUAGAUACCCUGGUAGUCCACGCUGUAAACGAUGAGUGCUAGGUGUAGGUGGGCUCAUACCACUCUGUGCCGACGACGUAACGACAUAAGACACUCCGCCCGUCGGGGUAGGUACGGUCGGCGAACGACGUACGAAACGUACGAAAGGAAAGUUAGACGGCGUUGAGACGNGCCGACGGACGACGACGAGGGAGGUUAGG